Small nucleolar RNA from Nycticebus coucang (slow loris), 103 nucleotides. RefSeq annotates it as small nucleolar RNA U13. The transcript has a single exon. The record is from RefSeq and is a predicted model, not a curated record. NCBI's taxonomy places the organism in Eukaryota, Metazoa, Chordata, Mammalia, Primates, Lorisidae.
AUCCUUUUGUGGUUUAUAAGCAGGAUGACUGGUUUUCAAGACAAUGUGCCAGAUGUGUCUCCUUCAAAUCUUGUUAUGAUUUUGGCACAUUUCCUAUCUCACA